Long non-coding RNA from Ahaetulla prasina, 1867 nucleotides. RefSeq lists it as uncharacterized. NCBI's taxonomy places the organism in Eukaryota, Metazoa, Chordata, Lepidosauria, Squamata, Colubridae. The transcript has 3 exons. The record is from RefSeq and is a predicted model, not a curated record.
CAGUUUUUCAUGCUUACACUGAUGGUUCCAAAACUAAUCCAGGAUAUCACAAACACAUUAUGGAAUGGUGCCUAGAGUGGAGCAAAAAGAUCAGAGCCUGAAAGCUGAACAUUCAGUAUGGAUCCAAAAAAACAAGUACCAGGAGUUGGCCUUCAGGAUGCAAAAAUUAGAGAGCAAAAUCAUUAUAAAGGAACAACCCAGAUGGUGUAAUAAAGGAACAAGCCAAAAUAUGAUCAAACCAUGAAGACUAUUAGGUGAUGAACAAAUAUUUAAAAAGAUACCAUGUUUGCUGGAUAAUGGGCAGAAUGAAAGAAACUUUGUGAAACUAAACUAAACUUAAUUCAGCAGUUUCCUGAAGAAAACUGGGUUUGGGAAAUCGGUAGUGAGUUUGGAAAUAAAUUUCAUAUUACAGGAAAGACUGAAGAUUUCCUGAGAUCCAGGACCAUUUCAUAAAGUCCCUGCUACUGGACAUUUACUGGCCUUUCCUGUCACUUAUCUACAUUUACAAUAUAAAUAGAAGAUUCAGCAGAAGGAAAGGAAAGAGUCCUAACAGCAGGUAUGCUAAUUAUUGCUGGAGACCCCUGAAAUAGAACACCCAAUGGUUCGAUUGAUCCAAGAAACUGAGAAGCUGCAUGUCCAAUAGGCUUGAUUUUCCUCAUCAUCUUGAAUACUGUUAUUCAUCAACCAUCCAACAGCAGAGAAACACACACAGAGACACACACCAAAAAUUGUUUGUUGUUAUUAUUGUUGUUGUUGCUGUUGCUGUUGUUGUUAUUGUUAAAAUGGAUCUAAGGCAUGUUCACCAUAUAUGCCUUUGAGAAAUGGGAUUAUUUUACUAAAAAUAACUCAAUGAAAAUAUAUUUAUGGUAAAUGAUAAAGAAACUGUCUAUCAUUGAAGAACAGCAUCCAUUUUGGAAAUGAAAUUAAAACAUAAUUGAGCAAUAACACAUCAGAACACUUCUUGAAGGCUAGUGACAGAACAACAAUGGAAUUAAUUCCCGGGAACUAGACAUAGAAUUAACUCCAGUGAAUCCAAAGCUUUCUGAAGUAUUCUGGACAUAGCAUUCCAAAUGAAACAGGACUGAAUUGGGACUAGAUUAACUCUGAGACACUUUGAAUCCACCUCUGGGCACUUUUAUGCCCAGAAAGACAGGAUCCAUUCAACUCAAAGCAAUCAACAUUUAUAAGAUUUUUCAGCCUUUUGUCACAAUCCUUAUGGUCUUGCUCCAAUUCCCUACAAUGAGAGUUUUGUUCAGUUUGUAAGUGAGGGAGUAAUAAGGAAUUAGUGUUGUGAGCUUUCUUAGGGAACUCCCGUAUUAUAAAGGAUUUUUCUCCUGUGUAAAACCAAAAUGGUUCAAUAACAGGAUUUCCGGAUAAGCUGUUCAGGAAACAGUUACUGUUCAAACUGAAGAGCUGGUUUCAUUUUAAUAUGAACAAUGUCAGUUGUUUGGGGAAUAUUCAGGACAACAGGAUGCAUUCAAAAUUAAACACUGAACUCAAUCCUUGAUUCAUGUUUUAAGUGAACCAAGAAAUAUGAGUCACAGAAAAGAAAGUAGUAUCAGCCUUGAAGUCUGAGAUACUAGAAUGAAAUGAUGAGUACCAGUUUAAAGCUUAGAGGUUAUUUAAAGAAUCCAAGGAUUGAAUAAAGCUUUUUAGUUCUGAAAAAGCUUUCAGUAUUGCAGAAUCUUUGAUGACAGUGCUGUAUAAAACCUCAUUAAUUACAGUAGGACUUAAAUAGAUGGUGAGAAUUGCAGCAUUUAAUAUUUUCUUUCUUUUCUUGCACAAUUCUCUGUUCCCAGUCAUCAUAUUUCUGUUUUUGAGAUGCCAAGGGUUCUUUAUGACAGCUGCCCUGUAAUUUCUUAUCUAA